GGAUAAGACCACGGCAGUUCAGGCUGCCGGGGUAAAAAGUGGCCUCUGCUUGCAAGCUACCACUCGAAGAUGGGCCUGCGCGCCAUUAGCUAGUUGGUGGGGUAACGGCCUACCAAGGCAAAGAUGGCUAGCUGGUCUGAGAGGAUGGCCAGCCACACUGGGACUGAGACACGGCCCAGACUCCUACGGGAGGCAGCAGUGGGGAAUAUUGCGCAAUGGGCGAAAGCCUGACGCAGCGACGCCGCGUGGGUGAUGAAGGCCUUCGGGUCGUAAAGCCCUGUCGGGAGGGACGAAACCUCGGCGGCCUAAUAUGCCGCCAACUUGACGGUACCUCUUAAGGAAGCACCGGCUAACUCCGUGCCAGCAGCCGCGGUAAUACGGAGGGUGCAAGCGUUGUUCGGGGCGUAAAGCGCGUGUAGGCGG
This 423-nucleotide ribosomal RNA is filed under the name uncultured bacterium. RNAcentral's name for it is "bacterial SSU rRNA". It matches the Rfam family "Bacterial small subunit ribosomal RNA", at positions 171 to 578 of the family's 1533-position model. The record is from RNAcentral.